This 463-nucleotide ribosomal RNA is filed under the name Phoenicolacerta laevis (Lebanon lizard). RNAcentral describes it as "partial 12S ribosomal RNA". It matches the Rfam family "Bacterial small subunit ribosomal RNA", at positions 794 to 1482 of the family's 1533-position model. Lineage: Eukaryota; Metazoa; Chordata; Lepidosauria; Squamata; Lacertidae. The record is from RNAcentral.
GCUAAGCCCUAAACAUUGAUUAGCCAUAAUACAAAGCUAUCCGCCAGAGAACUACAAGUGAAAAACUUAAAACUCAAAGGACUUGACGGUGUCCCAUAUCAACCUAGAGGAGCCUGUCCUAUAAUCGAUACCCCUCGCUCCACCCUACCUUAACUAGCAAAACUCAGCCUAUAUACCGCCGUCGACCAGCCUACCCUAUGAAGGUCUAAUAGUAGACAUAAUAGUCACACCACUAGUACGUCAGGUCAAGGUGUAGCAAAUGUUAAGGAAGUGAUUGGCUACAUUUUUUAUGAUAAAAAAUACGGAAUGCAUUAUGAAACCGCUCAUGAAGGUGAAUUUAGUAGUAAAGCAGAUAAGAGUAUCUACUUUAACAAUGCUCUGGGACGUGUACACACCGCCCGUCACCCUCCUUAAUUAACCAAUUUAAUUGUUUAUAAAAACCCCCCCAUAUAUUAAAGGAGGU